Molecule: ribosomal RNA, 1322 nt
Filed under: Rotylenchulus reniformis
Lineage: Eukaryota; Metazoa; Nematoda; Chromadorea; Rhabditida; Hoplolaimidae
Description: eukaryotic LSU rRNA
Rfam family: Eukaryotic large subunit ribosomal RNA
Source: RNAcentral
GGAGCGGGCCACCUAUACUUCGCCGUCAUUGGCUUGUACUGUCUCCACACAUGAGCAAGUCUGGCCAUGACGUGUAGGAGGGUCGUGGCGGUAGCGUUGAAGGCUUUGGGCGUGGGCCCAGCUGGAGCUGCCGCCAGUGCAGAUCUUGGUGGUAGUAGCAAAUAUUCAAGUGAGAUCCUUGAAGACUGAAGUGGAGAAGGGUUCCACGUGAACAGCAGUUGAAUGUGGGUCAGCCGAUCCUAAGGCACCGGCUAAGGCCGUCACACACUACGGAUGAAGAUCUGGUUGCGCUUGCGUUGCCGAUCCAUCCGGUUGCCGAAAGGGAAGUGGGUUAACAUUCCCACGCCAGGCCAGGGAGAUGACGGUUCGCAAGAGCCGUUUCGCGCGGUAACGCAAAUGAACUCGCAGACGUUGUGUGGAGUCCGGGCCAGAGUUCUCUUUUCUGGUUUAGGACGCGUGUCCCUGGAAUCGGUUCAGCCUGAGGUAGGGAUGUUGCGUCCGUAAAGCACCGCGGUUCCUGUGGUGUCUCGUGCGCUUCACACGACCCGUGAAAAUGCGAGGGAAGCGAUGUGAAUUUCCUGCCUGAUCGUACCGAUAUCCGCAGCAGGUCUCCAAGGUGAACAGCCUCUAGUCGAUAGAAUAAUGUAGGUAAGGGAAGUCGGCAAAUUAGAUUCGUAACUUCGGGAAAAGAAUUGGCUCUAAAGGUCGGGUCAGCCGGGCUGUUGUGUGAAACAGGCGGCCUUUGCCCGUGGCUGCGUGCUGGCCCGCAAGGGUUGGCGCGUGGACUAGUGGUGAGGGCUGCUUGUGGAGCGCUUCAGCUGCGUGUACGCUCGCAAGGGUGUGCACUUCGGUUGGCGCUGAACGACCAGUUUAGAACUGGCACGAACUCGGGGAAUCCGACUGUCUAAUUAAAACAGAGGAGACGGAUGGUCCUUGCGGACGUUGACCGUGUCUGAUUUCUGCCCAGUGCUCUGAAUGUUAAGCCAAGGAAACUUGAUUAAGCGCGGGUAAACGGCGGGAGUAACUAUGACUCUCUUAAGGUAGCCAAAUGCCUCGUCCUCCAAUUAGGGACGCGCACGAAUGGAUCAACGAGAUUCCCACUGUCCCUAUCUACUAUCUAGCGAAACCACAGCCAAGGGAACGGGCUUGGCAAAUUUAGCGGGGAAAGAAGACCCUGUUGAGCUUGACUCUAGUCUGACUUUGUGAAGAAUCAUGAGAGGUGUAGCAUAAGUGGGAGCCGCAAGGCGCCAGUGAAAUACCACUACUUUCAUCGAUUCCUUACUUAAUCGACAAAACGGGAGUGCGCCCGCAUGGGUGUCCAA